AUCUCCUAAACUUGGCCCAGGGAAAGGGCACCAAGGUUUUGGGGUUCUGUCAGUCAUUCUGGCCAAUCAUUCAAUCAAGCUGCUCACGUCACUGUUCCAGGACUUACAAGUGGAGGCUCUUCACAGAGGCUGGGCCAGUGACGGGCCCCCAGCAGAGCUGAACAUCAUGGCCCAGAGCACGUCCAUACAGAGAGUGCAGAGACUCAUUGACUCUGUCCCUCUCACCAACCUACUCUUCACGCUGCUCUCCACCUCCUAUAAAAAGGCGUGUGUGCUGCAGCGGCAGAGGAAAGGUUCGGUCAGCAGUGACGCCAGUGCCUCCACUGACUCCAACACUUACUACGAAGAUGACUUCAGCAGCACAGAAGAGGACAGCA
Long non-coding RNA from Sinocyclocheilus rhinocerous, 377 nucleotides. RefSeq lists it as uncharacterized. The transcript has 4 exons. The record is from RefSeq and is a predicted model, not a curated record. Lineage: Eukaryota; Metazoa; Chordata; Actinopteri; Cypriniformes; Cyprinidae.